RNAcentral lists this ribosomal RNA (829 nucleotides) under uncultured bacterium. RNAcentral describes it as "bacterial SSU rRNA". It matches the Rfam family "Bacterial small subunit ribosomal RNA", at positions 32 to 906 of the family's 1533-position model. The record is from RNAcentral.
AACGCGGGCGGCAUGGCUAAAACAUGCAAGUCGAACGUGCCCGCAAGGGCAAGUGGCGAAAGGGUCAGUAACGCGAUCGAACGUACCCCGAGGUGGGGGAUAGGGCGGGGAAACCCGCCAUAAUACCCCAUGAUGUCUUCGGACCAAAGGUUUACCGCCUUGGGAGCGGCGAUCGUCCUAUCAGGUAGUUGGCGGGGUAAAGGCCCACCAAGCCUAAGACGGGUAGCGGGUGUGAGAGCACGGCCCGCGACAUCGGAACUGAGACACUGUCCGGACUCCUACGGGGGGCUGCAGUAACGAAUCUUCCGCAAUGGGCGCAAGCCUGACGGAGCAAUGCCGCGUGUGGGAUGAAGCGGCUACGCCGUGUAAACCACUGUCAGGGGGCAGAAACAAUGAUCGCCCCCAGAGGAAGAGCCGGCUAACCCUGUGCCAGCAGCCGCGGUAAUACAGGGGGCUCGAGCGUUAGUCGGAAUCACUGGGCUUAAAGGGUGCGUAGGCGGUCCGCCAAGUGCUCUGUGAAAUCCCACAGCUCAACUGUGGAACAGCAGGGCAAACUGGAGGACUUGAGGCAGGUAGGGGCCGGAAGAACAGUUGGUGGAGCGGUGAAAUGCGUAGAUAUCAACUGGAAUGCCGAUGGGGAAGCCGUCCGGCUGGGCCUGUCCUGACGCUGAGGCACGAAAGCGUGGGGAGCAAACAGGAUUAGAUACCCUGGUAGUCCACGCCGUAAACGAUGUGCACUAGACUGGUGCGGUUUUGACGCUGUAUCAGUCGCAGUAAAAACGAUAAGUGCACCGCCUGGGGAGUACGGUCGCAAGGCUAAAACUCAAAU